This 492-nucleotide ribosomal RNA is filed under the name uncultured bacterium. RNAcentral's name for it is "partial 16S ribosomal RNA". It matches the Rfam family "Bacterial small subunit ribosomal RNA", at positions 29 to 507 of the family's 1533-position model. The record is from RNAcentral.
AGUGAACGCUGGCGGUAGGCCUAACACAUGCAAGUCGAACGGCAGCACAGUAAGAGCUUGCUCUUACGGGUGGCGAGUGGCGGACGGGUGAGGAAUACAUCGGCAUCUACUUUUUCGUGGGGGAUAACGUAGGGAAACUUACGCUAAUACCGCAUACGACCUACGGCUGAAAGCAGGGGAUCUUCGCACCUUGCGCGAUUGUAUGAGCCGAUGUCGGAUUAGCUAGUCGGCGGGGUAAAGGCCAACCAAGGCGACGAUCCGUAGCUGGUCUGAGAGGAUGAUCAGCCACACUGGAACUGAGACACGGUCCAGACUCCUACGGGAGGCAGCAGUGGGGAAUAUUGGACAAUGGGCGCAAGCCUGAUCCAGCCAUACCGCGUGGGUGAAGAAGGCCUUCGGGUUGUAAAGCCCUUUUGUUGGGAAAGAAAAGCAGCAGGUUAAUACCCCGCUGUUCUGACGGUACCCAAAGAAUAAGCACCGGCUAACUUCGUG